GUUUAUUUAUUGAACAUAGAGGUUUAAUACAUAAUUUAAAAUCAUUUAAAUGAACAUAGAAGUUUUUAAACAUCAGUUUAUUUGUAUAAGAAGCUGUAUGUUAGUGUUCUUCAGAGAAAAAAAAAAACAAAAGAGGAGAUAGCUCCCAACACACACACACACACACACACACACACACACACACACACACCCCCCAUCAAUUAUGGGAAUGGACUAAUGUGCUAAUAGAGGGUUAGCAGUCUCAUGAUCUGCCUUCUGCAAACUGGAGAAACAGGAAAGCAGGCAGUGAAAUUCAGGCCAAGUCCAAAGACCUGAGAACCAGAAACUCUGAUACCUGAAGUCAGGAGAAGAUAGAUGCCCCAGCUCAAAAAAAGAGAAUUCAUUCUUUCUCUGCCUUUUUGUUCUAUUCUGACCCUCAAUGGAUAGGACGAUGCCUGCCCAUGUUAGUGAUUUUCUUACUUAGUCCACUGACUCAAAUGCUAAUCUUUUCCAGCAACAUCCUCAAAGACACACCCAGAAAUAAUGUUUUACCAGUUAUAUGGACUUCCCUUACCCUAGAGAAGCUGACACAUAAAAUUAACCAUCACAGACUGUGAAGGGUGGCAGAAUAUGUCACCCCAAAAUAUGCUAGUUUGGUGUAAAGAUUAUUUUGAGCUAAAGGCCCUUGAAAAACAGCAAAUGCAAGAAGGGCAUUCCAAUCUCCUCUUUUCUUCCUGCAAACAGGAGACAAAAACUCCCAUGUGAAAGAUGCGCUCCCUGUACCAGAAGAGAAGAAACAUUCUUGUCACCGGAGAUGAGGAGUUGAGACUAAAAAAAAACCUGUACAAACAGACCUUGUUAAAAUAACUCUUAUCUUCCUUGAGCCUCCCCACACAUUUUAGUUACUUUUCCACAAUUGUCACUCUUUAUUCAAUCUGCUAUAUAAGCAUUUGGGUUUUUACCACUUCUUAGGGUCUUUAUUUUCCUAUGGCAGCUCCCAUGUACAUGUAAAAAGUCUGUGUAUUUUUCUCCUGUUAAUAUAUUUUAUGCCAAUUUAAUUCUCAGGCCCAACCAGAGGACCUAAGAGCAUGGAGGCAAAGUUUUGCUUGCUCUGUAACUGAGAUGUCAGGAUUAUCUGAUAAAGCCUCCUUGAUCAAGAAGGUAAUCCCAAGUUAGAAUGAAAUCUUUACAGAAAAGGGGGAUCCACAUUGCAAUUAAAUUGCUUGUAAUAGUUUCUGGUUACACCCUAGUGGUAAAAAGUACAGCUUCCUAUAAGUGGUGAUUAAAAAUAAAAGUCUAGAAUUAUCCACACUUCACUUGAUUACUAUUAGAGAGCCAAUAGGCUGUUUUCCUUUCAUUAAGGGAGGUAAUGUUCCUAAGGAAUUAAUGAGAUUUUUCAUCAGUUCUCAUGGUAUGUAUAAAGUUCCUAGAAACAACUCAUCAAAUGGUCAUUUGUACCCACUCUAGAACACGCAUACCAGAGACCUACCAGUGAUUGUCUCCUCCUUUCCACUUUGCCCUGAGUAAACAAAAGAGCAAGGCCCAUUUUAACCUAAAAAGGAUUCACAUUUUCAACUAACUUUAAAAAUUAAGAUUCUUUUUAUUUUUUUAAAUUUAUUUUUAUUUUUUGAGAGAGUCUCACUCUGUGACCCAGGCUGGACUGCAGUGGCGCGAUCUUGGCUCACUACAAUCUCCAACUCCGGGAUUCAAGAGAUUCGUGUGCCUCAUCUUCCCUAGUGGCUGGGAUUACAGGCACCUGCCACCACUCCCGGUUAAUUUUUGUAUUUUUAGUAGAGACGGGGUUUCAUCAUGUUAGCCAGGCUGGUCUUGGACUCCUGACCUCAAGUGAUCCACCCACCUCGGCCUCCCAAAGUGCUGGGAUUACAGGUGUGAGCCACUGCGCCUGGCCGAUUCUUCUUACUAAUCAGAAAGGGUUCUCCCUUUUGAAAAAGAUAUAACAAUUUUUAACAUUUCAUGUUAGAAACAGUGUGAGGUUGUCUUGUACAUGGUACAUAAACUCAGAUGACAGGCAGAACCCUCAACUUGUUCCUGAAGUCUCUCAAGAGCCUAGUGACAUCUCAGCCACCUGCACUAUGCAAAUAGACCCAAGGUGUCAGGAGGAUGCUGCAAGGACCAGUUCCAGCACAUUCCAUUCCAUUUGCUCAAACUCAUUACCUGACAACUUCAAAGAUUGUCCCAGCUUCUGUCCUGAGUGGGACUUUUGCAUUAACAAGUGAGCCUGAUGGAGGCUUAAUGUUUCUUAGAAACAGUCUUCAAGUACUGACAGAAGAUGGCCAUCUGUUCUUCUGAUUGCUGAGCCAGAACAAAGGGAAAAGAAUAAAAUGCAGUACAGAGGGUUUAGAUUAGAUCUGAGGAAGGAUGUCUGCACAAAGUGAGUUAUUAUACAAUAAAAUAAGUUUCAGGAGAAAAAUAGUUUUAAACUCUUUCAAUAUGGGACUCUUCAGAACUAAUUCAGAUUUGUAUCCAUAAAGGAUGUUUAAGAUAAAAUUUUCUUUCUGAAGCCAGGAAAGCCAACUUUGUUGCUUUAUUCCUGGAAGUGUUAUCGAUUUGAUAUAGUGAAUGAAGAUAUUCAAAAGACCUUAAGCAAUUAGAAAUCCAGGGUGAUAUUUGCAUAUUCGAUCCCACCUACAUGACUACCUGUGACCAGGUACUUAAGUUACAUUACAUAACAGAAAUCCACACAUAUAUAUUAAUGAUAGAAUGACACAUGUGAUAUAUGCAAGCCUGUCACUAUAUGCUAUAGCAGCAUGGAGACUCCAAAAAAUCAACCUGAGUAUAUUAAGCUGCUUUGUUCAAUUUACUUGUAUCAGAAGUCCUCUAUUGUAUGGCAUAGAGUUGCCUGACUGUGGGAUUUUAAGUGGCCUGCAAGGAAAGUGCCAAGAGAGGACACAAAAUAAUAGAGAAGAUUGCCAGUGGUUUACUUUUUACUUUUCCAAUGUUCUCCUUACAGGAUUCUUUCCUUCUUUAAGCCCUCUCUUUUUUUUUUAAUAUCUAAAUCUCCUACCCCCCUGAGGUGCCCAUGAUCCAAAGUUUGUCUUCUUCUAUAUUAAUUUCCUCAUUUACUCUACUCCCAAUCCAAACCAGUGCUCCAAUGAAUGAUUUCAGGUUUCUAAAGACCCCAAGAGCAAAGGUCUACUCAUUUUGGUUUCGGAGCUCUGGAAGUUUUGUUUUGUUUUAGUGUUAUGUUGUCUUUUCUAAAAGAAUUUUGGAAAGUUGAUAUUUGCAUAUUCCAUCCCACCUACAUGACUACCUGUGACUAGGUACUUAAGUUACAUUUGAAUGCAUUUUAAGUGACUGAAGGUCAAAUGAUGCCCAGCAUGCAUUCUGAAUGACAUUGAGUUAUCAAAAAGCUUGCAAUUGCAGAAACAUACUGACCAGAGAAAAACUUCCCUGACAGAGAGAAAAGGCCAGUCUUUGAAGUGCUCAUUGACUACAGACUAUCUUAAGAUAGUUCAUUAUCAGUGCACAUAAGGACAAAUAUAUUCUGGAGAAUUUCUUAUUUAGUUCUUGAUCAAUUGUAUUACUAUAUUUUAUAUUGCGUACAUAUUCUUAAAUUGGCCCAUGAAAAUAAUAGAACAGUAGUUUUAAAAAACUGUUAAAAAGGAGAAAUAGUUAUAAUGCUGAUGAAUUAAAUUAUAGCCCCUUAUGCUCUCAAAAGCAUAAAAAUUAAGUUGAUAGCAAGUGACACAGUAAACAAAGAGGUACAUUUGUCACUUUUAAAUAUAAUAGGAGAAAUAUAGUUUCAAUAAAAAUUCUGCCUGAUUUUAAAUGUUUCUCACUUGAAUUUUAUGUUUCUAUAGUUUUGUUUGAAAUUAAACGUUAGGUUUAAUUUUAUAGCUAUAUAAAAUGUAAACAUUGUGUUAUGUUUGUACAAUAUUUAAGAAACUUUAUAUUAAAUAUAAUCUGAGUCAACUAUGAAGAUCAAAGAGGUGUUUGGUUUUCCUUUAAAAGGUGGUGGUAUAUUAUCUCAGACUGAGAAAUGUUAGAACAGCCUAGUUCUAUGUGUGUUAAAAGGAAAGGGACUUGAGUACUUGAUUAAAAUAACCUAUACUAACUCUCCAAGUUACUAUCAUUUUAAAAGAAUCCCUGGUAAUCCAAACAAAUCUCCCCUUGGACUUUUUGCCUUCAUAGGCAUCCUAUGUGAAACCUAACUCAUGGCUGUCACCAAUUAGAAUUGACUUCCCCGUGCUUCAUCCCACAUGUAGUGAAAGAAUGGUGUUGAUAGGUCAUAUUCAUGAGUUUGAUGAUCCUGAGAGAGAGCUACACUGAAAAAAGUGUACAUAAGAACCACCAGGAUACUUGGGGGAGACACGCAAAUUUAAUUUGUUUGGGUUAAUUCUGAGACUGUAUUUUUCCCAAACACCUAAGGUAGUACUGAUUCAAGGAGGCCAGAGUCCACUCUUAGAGAAACAUGCCUUACCAUGCCUUCAUAGGAACAAGACAAUGGGUACUUUAGAUUUCAUGUGACUGUGUAUAAGUGACCAUAUAAGUGGAAUGGACCAAGAAUUACAAUCGGAAGAAUACUCGAAGCUACUUUGCUACUGAAUAUGAGUCAGUGGUCAUCAUUGUUUAGAGAGUUUUUUAAACUACAGAAUAAGUGUAGACAUAUCUGUCUAUUUUGCACCAAAGUUUUAAGCAUCUUCAUUUUUGGUACUAGAAGUUUCAUUAUCUAAGGAAUCAGGACAUUUGAUUCUUGAGGCUUAUUAAUGGAGAUCAUAUCCCAGCUACUCUACUUAUUAGUUGGGUGACUAUAGACUAGUCACUUAACUUCUUGGUGCCUCAGUUUAUUCACCUAUAAAAUAAGAAUGAAAAUAUGAGGAUAAUGAAGAAGUUAAAUGAAAUAAUGAGUGAAACUAGAAACAUGCCUAGCCACAUAAUAAGAACCCAGUAGAUAUUAGUUGCUGUUAUUAUCAUAUAAUAUCGUUUAUUAUUGCCAUUUUCAUGACUAUUAUAUAAAUAACAGAAAUCCACACAUAUAUAUUAAUGACUUCUCUCUCUAAGAUAUUGUGUUAGAAAAGAUAAUAAAACCCAAAAUGUGCUCUGAAAUACCUUACAAGCUAAUGGAAGAAUUUAGAUAUGUAUCUAAGUAAAAAGAAUAAAAUGUAGAGAAAGUGGAAAUUAAAUGUAAGAGAAAUGAAAUGCAGAAACAUUUCAGAGAAAUGACACAUUACUUGUGACCUAAGUAAAUGAAAGAGAACCAAGGAUGGCUUAUGGGGGAUGAAAUAUUUGGGCUGAAACUUGUAUGACUGAA
RNAcentral lists this long non-coding RNA (5251 nucleotides) under Homo sapiens (human). Its description in RNAcentral is "HSALNT0091162". Lineage: Eukaryota; Metazoa; Chordata; Mammalia; Primates; Hominidae. The record is from RNAcentral.